RNAcentral lists this ribosomal RNA (319 nucleotides) under uncultured eukaryote. RNAcentral describes it as "partial 18S ribosomal RNA". It matches the Rfam family "Eukaryotic small subunit ribosomal RNA", at positions 1470 to 1796 of the family's 1831-position model. The record is from RNAcentral.
CCCUUAGAUGUUCUGGGCAGCACGCGCGCUACAAUGGUCUUCGCAAACGGAUGCAUUCUCGAAGGAGAAUGCCAAUCUUGGAAUCUAUGCCUUGGUCGGGACAGUUGCUUGCAAUUUUUCGACUCGAACCAGGAAUUCCUUGUAAUCGUGAUUCAUCACAUCACGAUGAAUACGUCCCUACCCUUUGUACACACCGCCCGUCGCUCCUACCGAUCGAAGAGUUAGGUGAAUUGUUUUGAUCGAUAAGAUUUGACUAUGGUCAACUCUCGUUGUGAAAUUCUGUGAAUCUGACUGUUUAGAGGAAGGAAAAGUCGUAACA